Molecule: signal recognition particle RNA, 306 nt
Filed under: Erythranthe guttata (spotted monkey flower)
Lineage: Eukaryota; Viridiplantae; Streptophyta; Magnoliopsida; Lamiales; Phrymaceae
Description: Mimulus guttatus (spotted monkey flower) Plant signal recognition particle RNA
Rfam family: Plant signal recognition particle RNA
Source: Rfam by way of RNAcentral
GCCGAGCCAUGUAACGUGGGCUUGUAACCCAAGUGGGGGCUUUGAAGUGGUUGAACAUUGACCUAGCUCAUCCAGUCGGGCCGUAGGUGGCUAAUUGCUGGCCUGCCCAUUCCAAGUGUGGAGUUGGGCUAUGUGGUUCGGGCUAAAGCUCGGGCCACGUGGUCCCUAAAUCGAAGGGCACCGCGCAAGGCUGGCUUCACAGAGCAACGAUAACCUUCAGCCCCUUACAGUGGAAGGAUAACGGGCUGGUUGCUUCCUUGGCCUACUUAAGCUUGAUGGGCUAGCUCUAAUUGAACAAUCAUUUUU